CAAAAAUAUUAUAUUUUUUCUAUAAAAAAAAAAUGGAAAAAAAUUA
Molecule: regulatory RNA element, 46 nt
Organism: Gorilla gorilla gorilla (western lowland gorilla)
Lineage: Eukaryota; Metazoa; Chordata; Mammalia; Primates; Hominidae
Rfam family: KRAS 3' UTR cis-regulatory element
About the family: AU-rich 49 nt fragment in KRAS 3'UTR. Its sequence but not the secondary is necessary and sufficient for reporter repression in HeLa cells.
Source: Rfam